Molecule: long non-coding RNA, 1074 nt
Organism: Salvia splendens (bonfire salvia)
Lineage: Eukaryota; Viridiplantae; Streptophyta; Magnoliopsida; Lamiales; Lamiaceae
Exons: 4
Source: RefSeq, a predicted model, not a curated record
AAAUUUCGGGACGAAAUUUCUGUUAAGGUUGGUAGGAUGUAACGCCCCGUUUUUCUGAACCUAAUUUUUGAACCCUAAAGUACUUGUAUUUAAUGCUAUUAAUAUUUCGAAGUUCGUGAUUUAAUUGUCAGUGAAUUAAUUAUUGGUGAAUUAAUUGUUGCUGGACUAGAGAUUUGUGAAAUAAAUUACUGCGCGAAUCUAAAAUAAUUCAUGUCCGUGAGGAAUAUUUAUUGGACUCGAUUCCGUGUUGGAUCCGAUAAAUUAAAUAAAUAAUAUAAAAAUCCAGUCCGUGAUAAAUAAAUUGGGGACUGCACAAUUUAAAAUAAAAUACAAAGGACCGUGAAUUAAACCAAUAUAAUUAAUUUUCCCGGUUGAUUUGGUCAUCAACCGGCUUUAAUUUUAUUUAAUUAAAGAUUCUGUAGAGAUUUUCCCCCUCCGUGAAAAGAUAUUCAUCCUCCAUGAUUUGCAAUUAAAUCACAAAUAAAUUGAUAAGAAUCAUUCACGUCAGAAUCCCCCCUCAACCCACGUUGAAAAAAACGCUCCCUCUCUCCCCAAAUCUCUCCCAUAUCUGUAACCCCCUCUAUAAUAUUCACGUCAGACUCAUUCUUCCCCCUAUUCAUUCUCUGCAAUCAAGAAACCAAGACUUCUCCUUUCAACUUCUAUUCAAGAAAUCGAGAACUAAGGAGAGGGAGUUCCUGUUCCGUCCAGUUGCAAAUCUGCAAAUUGAAGGUGAUACCUCGCAAGGGAAAGAACGUAAUUUCGGAUUAAGCACUCGAGGUUGAGCGGCGACGAGCAAUUGGUGGUGUUGAGCAAUUUAAAAUUGAAGCAUGGUUUGGUUAGUUGUUGAGGAAAUUAGUCGUACGGAGCGGGUGACCGCCCCCUCCUGCACCCCCUAGAUCCGUUACUAACUCCCUCCGUCAUACAAUAAAAAUCAUGUUUUGUCAUUUCAGUUCGUCUCAUAAUAAGAGUCUUAUUUAACUAACUUAUUCAAUUAACUUUUCUUUACAUUUUUAUAAAAUCCGUACCAAUACUAAAUAGGACUCCUAUUCGGGGACGGAGGGAGUAUUUAUUUGA